GACGAACGCUGGCGGCGUGCUUAACACAUGCAAGUCGAACGGAAAGGCCCUGCAUUUGUGGGGUGCUCGAGUGGCGAACGGGUGCGUAACACGUGAGUAACCUGCCCUUGACUUUGGGAUAACUUCAGGAAACUGGGGCUAAUACCGGAUAGGAGCUCCUGCUGCAUGGUGGGGGUUGGAAAGUUUCGGCGGUUGGGGAUGGACUCGCGGCUUAUCAGCUUGUUGGUGGGGUAGUGGCUUACCAAGGCUUUGACGGGUAGCCGGCCUGAGAGGGUGACCGGCCACAUUGGGACUGAGAUACGGCCCAGACUCCUACGGGAGGCAGCAGUGGGGAAUAGUGCACAAUGGGCGGAAGCCGGAUGCAGCAACGCCGCGUGCGGGAUGACGGCCUGCGGGUUGUAAACCGCUUUCGCCUGUGACGAAGCGUGAGUGACGGUAAUGGGUAAAGAAGCACCGGCUAACUACGUG
Molecule: ribosomal RNA, 468 nt
Filed under: uncultured bacterium
Lineage: Bacteria
Description: partial 16S ribosomal RNA
Rfam family: Bacterial small subunit ribosomal RNA
Source: RNAcentral